CAGCCGCCGCGGGAAUACGGAGGGUGCAAGCGUUAAUCGGAAUUACUGGGCGUAAAGCGCACGCAGGCGGUUUGUUAAGUCAGAUGUGAAAUCCCCGAGCUUAACUUGGGAACUGCAUUUGAAACUGGCAAGCUAGAGUCUUGUAGAGGGGGGUAGAAUUCCAGGUGUAGCGGUGAAAUGCGUAGAGAUCUGGAGGAAUACCGGUGGCGAAGGCGGCCCCUUGGACAAAGACUGACGCUCAGGUGCGAAAGCGUGGGGAGCAAACAGGAUUAGAUACCCCUGUAGUCCCUGUCUCUUAUAC
Molecule: ribosomal RNA, 301 nt
Filed under: uncultured bacterium
Lineage: Bacteria
Description: partial 16S ribosomal RNA
Rfam family: Bacterial small subunit ribosomal RNA
Source: RNAcentral